AUACGGAGGACGCGAGCGUUAUCCGGAUUCAUUGGGUUUAAAGGGUGCGUAGGCGGUUUGCUAAGCGGGCGGUGAAAUGCCGGCGCUCAACGUCGGAAGUGCCUCCUGAACUGGUGGACUUGAAUGACUCUGCCGUGGGAGGAAUGUGUAGUGUAGCGGUGAAAUGCUUAGAGAUUACACAGAACACCGAUUGCGAAGGCAUCUCACGAAGGGUUGAUUGACGCUGAGGCACGAAAGCGUGGGGAUCAAACAGGAUUAGAUACCCUGGUAGUCCACGCCGUAAACGAUGGGCGCUCGUCGUCGGCGGCAGACAGUCGGCGGCCAAGCGAAAGCGAUAAGCGCCCCACCUGGGGAGUACGGUCGCAAGGCUGAAACUUAAAGGAAUUGGCGGGG
This 393-nucleotide ribosomal RNA is filed under the name uncultured bacterium. Its description in RNAcentral is "partial 16S ribosomal RNA". It matches the Rfam family "Bacterial small subunit ribosomal RNA", at positions 523 to 918 of the family's 1533-position model. The record is from RNAcentral.